This 253-nucleotide ribosomal RNA is filed under the name uncultured bacterium. RNAcentral describes it as "partial 16S ribosomal RNA". It matches the Rfam family "Bacterial small subunit ribosomal RNA", at positions 524 to 776 of the family's 1533-position model. The record is from RNAcentral.
UACGGAGGGUGCGAGCGUUGUCCGGAAUCACUGGGCGUAAAGGGCGCGUAGGCGGCCUGAUAAGUAGGGGGUGAAAUCCUGCGGCUUAACCGCAGGGCUGCCUUCUAAACUGUCAGGCUUGAGCACAGUAGAGGCAGGUGGAAUUCCCGGUGUAGCGGUGGAAUGCGUAGAGAUCGGGAAGAACAUCAGUGGCGAAGGCGGCCUGCUGGGCUGUUGCUGACGCUGAGGCGCGACAGCGUGGGGAGCAAACGGG